GGUUAAGGAGGUGCCACUCUGGGAGCAGAAGGCAGUCACUGGAGCAGAUCAGUGGAGCUACGUUACGGAGAUCCGGGAUGGUCCGUGAGGAUGCUGGGCCUCACCUGCCUCUUCCUCCUGCUUGCCACCUCUCAGUCACAAGACGGCUGCUGCGACUCAGGCUCAUGUCCCAAUUCAAGGCAGCAAGAAGGCCAUGGAGCGGCACCUGCCAGCAGAUGCCCCUGCAGGCCAUCUCUCCAGGCUCAGGAACCUAAAGAAGAAUCUACCCAGAUGUGGUGGCUCACACCUGUGAUCCCACCACUUUGGGAGGCUGAGGCAAGAGGAUCACUUGAGCCCAGGAGUUGGAGACCAACGUAGGCAAUACAGCAAGACUCCCAUCUCUACAAAAAAAAAAAAGAAAGAAAGAAAGAAAGAAAAGAAAUUAGCUGGCUGUGGUGCUGCACAUUUGUAAUACCAGCUACUCUAGAGGCUGAGGCUGGAGGAUCACUUGAGCCGAGGAGUGAGCUAUGACCACACCAUUGCAUUUCAGCCUCAGUGACAGAGCAAGGCCCUGCCUCAAAAAAAAAAAAAAAAAAAGAAAAGAAUAAGAUAAAAUAAAUAAUACAGGAGAACCUAGUGCUCAGGUUCUCUAGUGAAGAGGAAGGCAAAAGAUAGAAAGGUCAGACAAACUUAAACAUGCAUUCCAAGAUCGGCCUGGGUCCGCCCGUAGACAUGAAGGAAUCUUCUGGUGGAAAGUUAGGCAGGGAAACGGACACUGCUAUGAGCAUGUCUUCCUGGGCAGCUUGCGAUGGUCAGGAGGAGGUGGUUGUUCCUCAGCAGCGGUGCUUCCGAUGAAGCCCCAUGUUGUAGUGGAAGACAAGCCAUUCCUGUCUGACCUUCUGUGCCGCGCCUAGGCUUCCAAAAGCUGCUAUCGCCAAGAUCCAUUUCCGUUCACCUUUAAACUGCUUGUUAUGGGGAGGAGUCAGCCAGCCAUGAUGCAUACUUGUUACAGAAAGAAACGCCCACGUUGAGCUCUCCUGAUAAGAAGAGAGAGCAUUCGUCAUUGUCUGUAUCUGUCAUCUGAAGAAGGAACCAAUGUCAAAAAUCCCACACAUUCUCCUCCCGCAAGUCACAGAGUAAGCCUCCCAUUCUUGAGCUCGUUCAUUCACCAAACACAUUCUGAUCUCUCCUGUGCCCAGGCGGUGGGAUUCAGAGAAGAAGUGCUGCCUAGUAGUCAGCACCCAGUGCCAGGAAAACAGGACAAGGGGAGUUGUCGGGGGAGACACCAGGAUUGAAGUUGCUUUUACUAAAAAACAUUUUUUUUAUCUUGUUAACAAAUAUAUUUACCAUGGUACAUGGUGGCAAUGCUCUCAGUUUUAAAACACAGCAAUUAUCUUCCAGUGGUCACUAAUUAAUCCAGGUGUGGCUAGGAACAGCUGGAUACUGAUCUGUGUGAUGAUGGCACCUCUAUCAUCAGGCUGCCAUUGCUGGCACUUUGGGCAAGGUGGACUGGGGUUCUGCUCUGGGGCUGUGUGCCCAAGGUUUACACCUCACUAUUUUACAGCACACUGGAGCUCCCAACAGUCCCCGAAGGUCUGGAGAUCACCAAUGGGCAGGAGAGAAGGGAGGGGUUUAGACAUCAGGGAGCCAAGUUCUACAGCAUCUUCUAGAUCCAGGCUAUCGAGCACUUGAAAUGCGGCUAAGUCUGAAUUGAGAUGUGCUGUGUGUAAGAGACACAACAGAUUUUGAAGACAGUAUGAGAAAAAGAACAUAAAAUAUCUCAGUAAUUUUAUAUUGAUUACAUGUUGAAAUGAUACUAAUUUUUGAUAUACUGGGUUAAAUAAAAUAGAUUAUUAAAAUUAACUUCAUCUCUUUCUUUUGACCUUUUCAACAUGGCCAUUAGAAAAUUCAGCUUACGUAGUAGGCUCACUUUCUACUGCACAGCCCUGGAUGUCAAACUCAAUGAGAGCGGUGUCUGUACCUGUAUCUGCUCAUCCAGUCCAUAAAAGUCAGCACAGUACCUAGCACUGAAAGUACUCCAUAAAUAUUUGAGGGAUGGACAAAAGUACAAGUGAACAAAUAGCAUCUGCUCCUCAUUUCUGUAACAAAGUCUAAACUUU
RNAcentral lists this long non-coding RNA (2099 nucleotides) under Homo sapiens (human). Its description in RNAcentral is "HSALNT0324092". Lineage: Eukaryota; Metazoa; Chordata; Mammalia; Primates; Hominidae. The record is from RNAcentral.